RNAcentral lists this ribosomal RNA (468 nucleotides) under uncultured bacterium. RNAcentral describes it as "partial 16S ribosomal RNA". It matches the Rfam family "Bacterial small subunit ribosomal RNA", at positions 28 to 507 of the family's 1533-position model. The record is from RNAcentral.
GACGAACGCUGGCGGCGUGCUUAACACAUGCAAGUCGAACGGACAGGCCCUGCUUUUGUGGGGUGCUCGAGUGGCGAACGGGUGAGUAACACGUGAGUAACCUGCCCUUGACUUUGGGAUAACUUCAGGAAACUGGGGCUAAUACCGGAUAGGAGCUCCUGCUGCAUGGUGGGGGUUGGAAAGUUUCGGCGGUUGGGGAUGGACUCGCGGCUUAUCAGCUUGUUGGUGGGGUAGUGGCUUACCAAGGCUUUGACGGGUAGCCGGCCUGAGAGGGUGACCGGCCACAUUGGGACUGAGAUACGGCCCAGAAUCCUACGGGAGGCAGCAGGGGGGAAUAUUGCACAAUGGGCGGAAGCCUGAUGCAGCAACGCCGCGUGCGGGAUGACGGCCUUCGGGUUGUAAACCGCUUUCGCCUGUGACGAAGCGUGAGUGACGGUAAUGGGUAAAGAAGCACCGGCUAACUACGUG